GGGGAAGUGGUGGAAUGGCAGACACGCAUGCUUCAGGUGCAUGUGUGAGAAAUCGCGUGAGGGUUCAAAUCCCUUCUUCCCCA
Molecule: transfer RNA, 83 nt
Filed under: Lactococcus lactis
Lineage: Bacteria; Bacillati; Bacillota; Bacilli; Lactobacillales; Streptococcaceae
Description: tRNA-Leu
Rfam family: tRNA
About the family: Transfer RNA (tRNA) molecules are approximately 80 nucleotides in length. Their secondary structure includes four short double-helical elements and three loops (D, anti-codon, and T loops).
Source: RNAcentral